UGGCUACAAAAUAACUUAUUUUGUAGCCAAUUUGAGUUACGAUAAUUACUAUAUUAAUUUACAAUAUUAUAGUAACUCCUUACUAAGUGGUUUACUAUAACAUUACGGUAGAUAUCUCUAUGUGUUAUAGUAACAUAACUAUCGUAAAUAUGUAUACAUAUUAUCGUAAAUGGAGGUGGCUACAGAAUAACAUAUUUUUGUAGCUA
Molecule: microRNA precursor, 206 nt
Filed under: Sorghum bicolor (sorghum)
Lineage: Eukaryota; Viridiplantae; Streptophyta; Magnoliopsida; Poales; Poaceae
Description: MIR6217 microRNA precursor family
Rfam family: MIR6217 microRNA precursor family
Source: Rfam by way of RNAcentral